CCCACUUCUUCAUAAAAGUGUAUCAAUUAAACUGUUAAUAGCUCCAGACUGAUUCCUCUUCUGCAACUGUCACUAGUCUAAUACCAUCCUUACCUUUUUGUGUCAUUUUACCCCACUCACUCUAGCAUGUAAGCUCAUUGAACAGGGCCCUCAACCCCUCUGUUCCUGUGUGUCCAACUUGUCUGGUUACAACUACACGUCUGUUCGUCCACCCAUUGUAAAGUGCUG
Pelobates cultripes (western spadefoot toad) is the source of this 228-nucleotide non-coding RNA. NCBI's taxonomy places the organism in Eukaryota, Metazoa, Chordata, Amphibia, Anura, Pelobatidae. The record is from the annotation of a GenBank genome assembly.